Molecule: transfer RNA, 79 nt
Filed under: Streptomyces turgidiscabies Car8
Lineage: Bacteria; Bacillati; Actinomycetota; Actinomycetes; Kitasatosporales; Streptomycetaceae
Description: tRNA-Lys
Rfam family: tRNA
About the family: Transfer RNA (tRNA) molecules are approximately 80 nucleotides in length.
Source: RNAcentral
UGCGCCGCUAGCUCAGUUGGUUAGAGCAGCUGACUCUUAAUCAGCGGGUCCGGGGUUCGAGUCCCUGGCGGCGCACAUA